This 31-nucleotide non-coding RNA is filed under the name Mus musculus (house mouse). The record is from RNAcentral. Lineage: Eukaryota; Metazoa; Chordata; Mammalia; Rodentia; Muridae.
UGACAUUGUCCACUGCAUUUAGCAGAAUAGU